AUGUCUCCCCGCCGCUGCCGCCGCCGCACCGCUCCGCCGGCCUCUCUGCCAGACGCCGACGACCUGCUCCGGGAGAUUCUCCUCCGCCUCCCUCCACGGCCUUCCUCCCUCCCCCGGGCCUCCCUCGUCUGCAAGCGUUGGCGCAGCAUCGUCUCCGACCCCCAGUUCCAACGCCGCUUCCGCGCCCACCACGGCAAGCCACCUCUCCUCGGCUUCUUCCUCAACAAUCCUUUCUCCUGCCCGUUUGUUCCGAUGCUGGAUCGACCAGAUCGCAUCCCCGGCGCUCGCUUCUCCAUGCCUGUACACGAGAGCAACCACAUCAUCGACUGCCGCCAUGGACUUGUCCUCUUCCUCAGCCCAUGGCCGCCGCGCCGCCUACUUGUGUGGGACCCCGUCGCCCGCGAGCAGCGCCGCCUCGUCUCCCCACCUGAGGUGGACAGCGAGCAGAUGCUCAUCUUCAACGGGGCUGUGCUUCGCCCUGCACGCGGCCAAGGCUGCAGUUCAAGCCAUUUCCGGGUGGCCCUGGUAGCCCGUGACAGAUCAUGUACGAGAGUCUCCGUAUGCCUUUACUCAUCGGAGACUGGGAUAUGGAGCAACAUCAAAUCACUGCAGCUGAAAUUUUUACCUCUGGAACGAGCCAGUACUUUGAUUGGGAAUUCUAUUUGCUGGUUACUUCCGGUGCAUCCUCAAAAUGUCAUACUUGAGUUUGAUCUGGAUAAGCACACCCUAGCUAUGACAGAGCUGCCAGCACCUGUAGAACCCUAUAAAAUGUUAUGGAUUGUGCCGGCCGAAGAUGGUGGGCUUGGCUUCAUCCAUCUCUCACAAUUUCACGCCAAAUUAUGGAAGAGAAAGCCUGAUUCUAAUGGUUUGGAUGUUUGGGUGCUCAUUAGAGCUAUUGAGUUUGAGGAGCUCAGACCAACUUGCAUUGGACACCCUCUCGCUUUAGUGGGGUUUGCCGAGGCGAGUAAUGCAGUCCUUGUACAGACAGAUUCUGGUGUCUUCAUGGUUUAUCUCCAGUCAACGGGGUUUAAGAAACUUUCCAAUCUGAGUGUCUUCUGUCUCCAUUAUCCAUUUGAAUAUUUCUAUCCUGCAGGUAAGAUUCAAAUCACACAUAUUUUUCCUUAUGCUGCUUGA
This 1134-nucleotide ribosomal RNA is filed under the name Triticum aestivum (bread wheat). Its description in RNAcentral is "partial small subunit ribosomal RNA". The record is from RNAcentral. Lineage: Eukaryota; Viridiplantae; Streptophyta; Magnoliopsida; Poales; Poaceae.